UUUUCAAAUGCUAAGUGCAGGGGAGGUAAUUAAAAAAGUUUAUUUAGGAAGCUGUAUUCUUCUCAAAAAAGGUUUUAAAAAGGAGGUCUUUUUAACCCGGGGAAAGGGGUUCGGCUUUUCCCCAGUCCAAAAUUACCCAAAUUUCCCCCGUUAGAAUUGGGACAAAAUUUCAAAUUCCAAAGGGGCAAUAUUCACUUCAGACCAGAAAAGAUCAAAGCCAUUGUAAGCCAUUCCUCAAGGGGGGGGUAAUUUAAACCUCCGCCCCACUUAAAGCGAUAAAUUUUUCACCCUCGGGGAUUAUACAAAUAUAAACCACCAUUUUAAAGGGCAUUCCGUAAUACUAGGUAGAUCUUUACGCAUUACUCACAGUAGUGAAUUCAAUUAUUUAAGCCUCUGGCUAUAGGAAAUUGUUAGUGGCAGACGGGUGAGUAAUGCGUAGGAAUCUACCUAGUAGUACGGAAUAGCCAUUAGAAAUGGUGGGUAAUACUGUAUAAUCCCCGAGGGGGAAAGAUUUAUCGCUAUUAGAUGGGCCUACGUUAGAUUAGCUAGUUGGUGAGGUAAUGGCUUACCAAGGCUAUGAUCUAUAGCUGGUCUGAGAGGACGAUCAGCCACACUGGAACUGAGAUACGGUCCAGACUCCUACGGGAGGCAGCAGUGGGGAAUAUUGGACAAUGGGCGAAAGCCUGAUCCAGCUAUGCCGCGUGAGUGAAGAAGGCCUUCGGGUGUAACUAACUGC
RNAcentral lists this ribosomal RNA (736 nucleotides) under Ehrlichia canis. RNAcentral describes it as "bacterial SSU rRNA". The stretch from base 336 to 736 matches the Rfam family "Bacterial small subunit ribosomal RNA", at positions 1 to 436 of the family's 1533-position model. The record is from RNAcentral. Lineage: Bacteria; Pseudomonadati; Pseudomonadota; Alphaproteobacteria; Rickettsiales; Anaplasmataceae.